UGAGGAAUUUUGCGCAAUGGGAGCAAUCCUGACGCAGCAACGCCGCGUGGGUGAUGAAGGCCUUCGGGUCGUAAAGCCCUGUCAGGUGGGAAGAAUGUCCCGGGACUGAACAGGUUUCGGGAGUGACGGUACCACCAGAGGAAGCACCGGCUAACUCCGUGCCAGCAGCCGCGGUAAUACGGAGGGUGCAAGCGUUAUUCGGAAUUACUGGGCGUAAAGCGCGUGUAGGCGGCCCUGCAAGUCUGAUGUGAAAGCCCCGGGCUUAACCCGGGAAGUGCAUUGGAAACUGUGGGACUUGAGUACUGGAGAGGAUGGGGGAAUUCCCGGUGUAGAGGUGAAAUUCGUAGAGAUCGGGAGGAAUAUCAGUGGCGAAGGCGCCCAUCUGGACGGUAACUGACGCUGAGGCUCGAAAGUGUGGGGAGCAAACA
RNAcentral lists this ribosomal RNA (428 nucleotides) under uncultured prokaryote. RNAcentral describes it as "bacterial SSU rRNA". It matches the Rfam family "Bacterial small subunit ribosomal RNA", at positions 355 to 774 of the family's 1533-position model. The record is from RNAcentral.